Molecule: ribosomal RNA, 384 nt
Filed under: bacterium
Lineage: Bacteria
Description: partial 23S ribosomal RNA
Rfam family: Archaeal large subunit ribosomal RNA
Source: RNAcentral
AUGUCGGCUCUUCCCAUCCUGGUUCUGCAGCAGGAGCCAAGGGUGGGGCUGCUCGCCCAUUAAAGGGGAACGUGAGCUGGGUUUAGACCGUCGUGAGACAGGUCGGUCUCUGCCUGACAGGGGUGUAGUUGUUUGAGGGGAAGUUGCCCAUAGUACGAGAGGAACAGGGCAGCGCAGCCUCUGGUUUAUCAGUUGUCCGACAGGGCAGGCUGAGCCGCUAAGCUGUUUAGGAUAACUCCUGAAAGCAUCUAAGGAGGAAACCUUUCCCGAGAAAAGACAACCUUCUGUAAGGAGAAGGGCAGCUAUAGAAGAUAGCGUUGAUAGAAUGGAGGUGUACGCAUCGAGCUUUUUGCGAGAUGUUCAGCCUGCCAUUACUAAUAGCCC